AUUGGGUCUGUGUAUUUGUGUGCGUGGUUAAGAGAGAGAAAGGAGAAGAAAAUAGUUCUUCAUCUUACAUCAAUAAAAUUCAACAAUUGGUAAGAAGAAAAUGGAUGGAUCAUAUGCAUGAACCCUAAAGAUUGAUCAGCUAAGAUUUUGCAACAAAAGGAAUAAAGGAAGAAGGGUCGAGCCACACGAAGCAACAAGGAGCCCAAGACCAAGGUAAAACCGCACUUUGAGCGGACUCGCGAUGCUUGGAACGAACACACGCGCAAGCUUCCUUCUUGCCCUUAAUGCGCUUCCGAAAUAGCUUAUGUUAUGGGUCAAAACGUUUGGUUGUCUAUACAGUUAAAAUCUAGUGGUUAAUUAUGUUCCAAAUCAUGUACUUUAUAAUUUUUGUGAAAUGGUAAACGGUUAAAUCUGGCUUUAAGAACUUAGCUUUGUAUAUUUUGAUCAAAUAUUAAGUAAAGUUUAAAAGUUCAAAAUUAGUCAUAAAUUUCGUUGUUUAACAUUUGGUUUUGACCGCUUGAAAGAUUUGGGCGUUACAAGUUGGUAUCAGAGCCGAGGUUUGAGGGACUCAAGUGCGUGUUAAAGUGCUUGAACUCAAACCAAAGGCUCGCGCGAUGGGUGUGUUCGCUCUAAGACGCAAAGGUGGUAAGUAUCUAAUAAUUUCGAUAAUUAUGGUUUUGACGUGUAAUGUUACGGGAUGGUUUUUGGAAGUUUAACAGUAUAAAAAUAAGAACGAGAAUGUUUUUGGAAGUUUCGGGGCAAGUUCGGUCGAAAGGGGGAUCGAAAACGGGUUAAAAGGGGCUGAAACAAAAAAAAAA
Molecule: long non-coding RNA, 818 nt
Organism: Helianthus annuus (common sunflower)
Lineage: Eukaryota; Viridiplantae; Streptophyta; Magnoliopsida; Asterales; Asteraceae
Exons: 3
Source: RefSeq, a predicted model, not a curated record